This 1356-nucleotide ribosomal RNA is filed under the name Selenomonas sp. MCB2. RNAcentral describes it as "bacterial SSU rRNA". It matches the Rfam family "Bacterial small subunit ribosomal RNA", at positions 9 to 1336 of the family's 1533-position model. Lineage: Bacteria; Bacillati; Bacillota; Negativicutes; Selenomonadales; Selenomonadaceae. The record is from RNAcentral.
GAGUUUGACCAUGGCUCAGGACGACAGAGGCGGCGUGCUUAACACAUGCAAGUCGAACGAGACGAUUGAAAGCUUGCUUUUGAGAGUCGAGUGGCAAACGGGUGAGUUUCGCGUAGACAACCUGCCGCAAAGAUGGGGACAACAGUCCGAAAGGACUGNUAAUACCGAAUGCNGUCCGAUUUCCGCAUGGAGGACGCAUUAAAGAUGGCCUCUACUUGUAAGCUAUCGCUUUGUGAUGGGUCNGCGUCUGAUUAGCUAGUUGGUGGGGUAACGGCCUACCAAGGCGACGAUCAGUAGCCGGUCUGAGAGGAUGAACGGCCACAUUGGAACUGAGACACGGUCCAGACUCCUACGGGAGGCAGCAGUGGGGAAUCUUCCGCAAUGGGCGAAAGCCUGACGGAGCAACGCCGCGUGAGUGAAGAAGGGUUUCGGCUCGUAAAGCUCUGUUGUCGGGGACGAAUGUGCAAGAUGCGAAUAGUUUCUUGCAAUGACGGUCCCUGACGAGGAAGCCACGGCUAACUACGUGCCAGCAGCCGCGGUAAUACGUAGGUGGCGAGCGUUGUCCGGAAUUAUUGGGCGUAAAGGGAGCGCAGGCGGGAAGGCAAGUCAGUCUUAAAAGUGCGGGGCUCAACCCCGUGAUGGGAUUGAAACUGUCUUUCUUGAGUGCAGGAGAGGAAAGCGGAAUUCCUAGUGUAGCGGUGAAAUGCGUAGAUAUUAGGAGGAACACCAGUGGCGAAGGCAGCUUUCUGGACAUGUAACUGACGCUGAGGCUCGAAAGCCUGGGGAGCGAACACGAUUACAUACCCUGGUAGUCCACUCCGUAAACGAUGAAUGCUAGGUGUAGGAGGUAUCGACCCCUUCUGUGCCGGAGUUAACGCAAUAGGCAUUCCGCCUGGGGAGUACGGUCGCAAGACUGAAACUCAAAGGAAUUGACGGGGGCCCGCACAAGCGGUGGAGUAUGUGGUUUAAUUCGACGCAACGCGAAGAACCUUACCCUGGCUUGACAUUGAAUGAAAGACUUAGAGAUAAGUCCCUCUCUUCGGACACACAAAAACAGGUGGUGCAUGGCUGUCGUCAGCUCGUGUCGUGAGAUGUUGGGUUAAGUCCCGCAACGAGCGCAACCCCUAUCAUUUGUUGCCAGCACGUUAUGGUGGGAACUCAAAUGAGACUGCCGCGGACAACGCGAAGGAAGGCGGGAAUGACGUCCAGUCAUCAUGCCCCUUAUGUCCUGGGCUACACACGUACUACAAUGGGAUGGACAGAAAGCAUCCAACCCGCGAGGGCAAGCCAACCCCAUAAACCAUCUCCCAGUUCGGAUUGCAGGCUGCAACUCCCCUGCAUGAAGUCUGAAUCGCU